GAAUAAAGCCUCAGCACUUUGGUUACCCCUUGCCAAUCCUGNGCGAUCUGAAGUUAAGCAGGGUGCGGGUCUAUUUAGUACCAGGAUGGGACACCAUCUGGCAAUUCCAGAUGGUGUANGCU
Molecule: ribosomal RNA, 122 nt
Filed under: Salvator merianae (Argentine black and white tegu)
Lineage: Eukaryota; Metazoa; Chordata; Lepidosauria; Squamata; Teiidae
Source: RNAcentral